RNAcentral lists this long non-coding RNA (2821 nucleotides) under Homo sapiens (human). RNAcentral's name for it is "non-protein coding OR2A1-AS1:24". Lineage: Eukaryota; Metazoa; Chordata; Mammalia; Primates; Hominidae. The record is from RNAcentral.
AUUGUCACACUGUUCCUGCUUCCUGACAGGUUCACUUGAACCAUCUGGAGAUUGGGGAACAAGGGCAAUGAGUUGAACAUGUAGGAAGUUUCAUGGCCCAGCCCCUCCUGAGAGCCCUGAACUGCCAACCAGACUGAGCCCAUCAGAGAAUAACACCUCAUUUUCUGAGGAUUCUGAUACCUUUUCAAUCAGAAACAGAAGCAAAGAUUCUGCAGCUCCCACAGAAACUCCCAGAAACCUUGCGGUGCUUCACCCUUCUGAGAUCCUUGAGUCCGAAUGUGGGAGCUAACCAGGUUGCCUUUCUUUACUUACCAUGAAUUCCUCCUAGACUCGUGGUGGCACCUAGGCUUUGGUUCACUCUCACUCUGUUACUAACACUUUUUAUUAAGUAAUGGGAAGGGAAGUAAAUCAUUUAUUUUAUGGCUAAACAUAUAUGCUCAUUAUUCAUAUUAUAUAUCAAUGGUUCCAGGGGAAAAAUAGAUGCACAUUUGAUGUGCAAAUUAUGUAAAAGUGUUUAGGACUUGGCUAUAUAUGUUUCUUUGGUGGAGAAAUAUCUAUGUGAUAGAGAUUUCUUUGGGAAAGAUGACACUCACAAAAAAAGCCAGAAAUUUCUGUUUUAUAGAUUUUGAUAAAAUGUAUGAAAUAAUUUUCGCAGCCAAAGGAAAGUAUAGCACAGUAUAUUAUGGAGAGAUGUUACAGCUCAGGAAAAUUAAUACAUGUCAGCUGUUUAAUAAAUUAUGCAUUUAAUUAUUGCCAGUACAGUCACAAUACAUGCUAAUCUAUGAGAAUAUAUUUAUUGCAAUAGAAUAUAAACCCAAAUGGAUGCUAAAUCUAUGUCUUAUCUUUCAUUAAGCAUGGCACUAAAGAGGGCAUAAGGCACCUGCAAUGUACUAGAUAAAUAUGUAUAAAUAUUAGAUUUUCCAUAGACUGGAGGAUAAGUUUUUGUGGUGCACAUGGAAAGAGUACAGAAAAAGAACUCAGGUGGUAGGUGGUGGUGUAACAAAGUAGGAAAACGAUGUAAUAAUUAAUAAUACUUUAAAUUUUCUUUUUAUAGGAUUUUUGUUUAAUGUGUACCUUUUUAUUUAUUUCUGCUUUUCCUCCCGAGGCACAUCUUCACAAUGAAAUCUUCACAAGCUCAGAACCAUCAACUUGCUACACUGUGUUCCUCCAGUGCCCAGUUCACAGGAAGCACUCAAGAGUAGGAUCAAUUGUUAUCAACCUCUAGCAGAUUAUUGAAUAGACGGUCGUUACAUGAAACUGACACUCAGUUCUUCAUGGUCCACGAUAGUUCUUAUAUCCAGAAAACGUACUUACGUUAUCAACUCUGACUCCAUAAGACAACUUUGCAAAGUCUUGGCUCAUAACUAUGUAAGCAAUGAGAUAACUUAGUUUUCAUUUCUCACUUGUUACUUACAAGUAAACAGCCCUGCAGCUCAGCUGAGCUACAGAUUAACUACAGGUAAUCACUUCAGCGAUUCUGCUUUACCCAUGCCCAAGAUUUUAAAAAAGAACCUGACAGAUCAUUAAAUUUUGAGAUUUGCUUUUUAAAAUGCAGGUUCCAUAAAGUUACGCUGUUUUGCUUAUAUAUACAGCAACAAAUGCCUUCUUAGAUAUUUACUUUAAAAUUCUAGUUUCCUUACCAUGUAUUAGCCAGAUAAUCUGUCAUUUUUUAAAUUCUGAAAUUGUACAUAUAUAAAUUAAUGUACAUCUCUAUGCCUGAAAGGUACAUUUGGAAUUACAACGUGUGUCAAGGUAGAGCAAAAUCCCCCAGUCCACUCCUUCCAACCCCCUAGAAAUUUACUCUGUUUGGUUUCCUCUUGAUUGUCUUUAAUUAACAAUAAGUAUGUCACAUAGGUAUCAAAUAAAAUAAGAAAAAAAAUAGAUAAAAGAGAAGUGAUUCAAAAUUCAAGUGUUUAAACACUUUAUGAAUCUUCCCGUUGUUCUUGACACAUUUUUAAAAUUUCAUUUUAAUUCAGAUCAUUAGGGAUGAAAUUCUCCUGAAUUGUAGCAUUUUAUUUCCUUUGGGAAGAAGGGGCUGAAUUUGGCAUAAUUAUACUUGACUAUACUGUAAAAGAAACCAGAUCUAAUAUAAGGACAUCAAUACUUAGUUAUUAAUUCAUUUGCUUAUAUUUAUAUGUCAUUUGAAAAUGUGUAUUAACAUACACAAUUAAAGGGAUAUAAAAAUGAACAUGCCCUCUCCAUUUCUUUAAAAGAAAUCAAGGCUGAAUCAAACAGGACUACUGUUCUGAAAGAAUACUCAGACUAUGAGUCUUCCUCCAGACAGGCACGCCAUACAACCGACUACACUUGGGCUCACUGAAUGAAUCACAUUCUUCUGCUGUGCCUCCCAGAGAUUUCAUCAAAGCACCCGCAGUGGCCUUCUGGAGGCUCCUCAAACUCUCCACUCAAUGUUUCCUGAAAGUGUCGUGUUUCUCACCUCUAGAUUGUUAUUCUCAUCAGUUACAUGUGGGUUUCACAAAUUUAUUUCUCAGAAUGCAAGUCUGUCUCUUAUAUCCUCGGGAAACACACCUUUAUAUCCCAGUUAGUACUGACAAAAAUUAAACUAGGGACUGGCCAAAAACAGUGCCUUUCCUCACUUUAAUCUCACUAAAGUAGAUAAGACUCAAGUUAUUUUGUUCUUGCAAUGGCAUUGACAAAUGUUUGCACCAAAAACCAUGUUGAAGUUCAUUAAGGAAACUGUGAUCCAAGAUCCAAGGUCAAAAAAACAAAUUCAUCAAUUCAGCACACCACCAACUCACAGGCUAAGCAUCUUACUGCUAAUUCAUUGAUGCUGCCAUUUGUCAAGUGCCAAAUUGAAUUA